Molecule: ribosomal RNA, 484 nt
Filed under: uncultured bacterium
Lineage: Bacteria
Description: bacterial SSU rRNA
Rfam family: Archaeal small subunit ribosomal RNA
Source: RNAcentral
ACGGAAUAGAUACCCAGGUAGUCCCAGCCGUAAACGAUGCUCGCUAGGUGUCAGGCAUGGCGCGACCGUGUCUGGUGCCGCAGGGAAGCCGUGAAGCGAGCCACCUGGGAAGUACGGCCGCAAGGCUGAAACUUAAAGGAAUUGGCGGGGGAGCACAACAACGGGUGGAGCCUGCGGUUUAAUUGGACUCAACGCCGGACAACUCACCGGGGGCGACAGCAAUAUGUAGGCCAGGCUGAAGACCUUGCCUGAAUCGCUGAGAGGAGGUGCAUGGCCGUCGCCAGUUCGUACUGUGAAGCAUCCUGUUAAGUCAGGCAACGAGCGAGACCCGUGCCCACUGUUACCAGCAUGUCCUCCGGGACGAUGGGUACUCUGUGGGGACCGCCGAUGUUAAAUCGGAGGAAGGUGCGGGCCACGGUAGGUCAGUAUGCCCCGAAUCUCCCGGGCUACACGCGGGCUACAAUGGAUGGGACAAUGGGUCCCU